Molecule: long non-coding RNA, 295 nt
Filed under: Sorghum bicolor (sorghum)
Lineage: Eukaryota; Viridiplantae; Streptophyta; Magnoliopsida; Poales; Poaceae
Description: long non-coding RNA (SBIC_LNC017948)
Source: RNAcentral
CCUGCUGAUCCCACUACAUGGUCGCCUCGCUUCUCCCUUUUUCUGCCCGACGCCGACGACCCGGCUGCGCCCUCAAAUUCCCCUCCCUCGAUCCCUCUCCAACUCAAUUGAGCACUCCAUAGCAUUCGCCACACCCUUGCGAACCCAGUGCACCCCCGAGCUCACUCCCUAACCCGCCCAAUCGCCGGCACUCCUUCUUCUCCCCCAACUCCGGCAGAAACCUCCGCCGUAGAACUCCCUCCAUGGCCGCGCUGUUCCAGUAAGUGGCACACCUUGCUUGUGGUCGUUUCCGGUU